Pteropus alecto (black flying fox) is the source of this 1805-nucleotide long non-coding RNA. RefSeq lists it as uncharacterized. The record is from RefSeq and is a predicted model, not a curated record. The transcript is spliced from 3 exons. Lineage: Eukaryota; Metazoa; Chordata; Mammalia; Chiroptera; Pteropodidae.
CCUGGGGCCGGUGCCUUUCUGCCACCCUUUGCAGCUCUCUGCUGAGCCUGGCCUCAGGCGGUCUCGUAAGGAUCAGGUUGAAGGAAGGUUGGCGUCUCCUGGGCUGUGAAUCAUUAACGCAGCUGACAAGAUCAGCAUCUUUUGAAAUCACUGUGGGAAGUGGAGAAGAUUCCUCAGUUCUGCUGUGUGUGUGUCGGAGAAGCGUGGAGAAUCUCUUUCAUCAUGACGAAGAGCUCAUGAGUGCCGAGAGAUUGUGUUGACUUUCUGGAAAACGGGGAGAAGAUUAUACGGAACUGACAAAUGAACCAGAGCAAGAAAGUCGCACCCUGAAAGUGGCCCAGGAGAGACGAGCGGAGGAGACUCCCCAGAGGGCCAGGCAGGCCCUCAUCUAUCCGCGUCCCGGGAACGUGAGAAACGAAGAAAGUGAAGAAAAUGUCCUGGCUUGAAGACCGAUCUUCAGUCUGACGGCAGGAUACCCUGGAAUAGCCUCGUGACGGUUCAGAAAGCCGGUGAUGAGUCUAGGUCCCGGAGAGCGAAAGAACAGUCCACCUGCAGGACGUGGGAACCAGAUUAGCCAAAGAAUUUGCAUCAAGGGCACAGAUGCUAGAAGCCAAGGGAUUCGGAGGGAAAAUGACUUUGAACCUUCAAUCCUAUAACUAAACAAACUGUCAAUUAAAUGCCCUUCCAGACAAAGAUUGUUGGAGGAUGUACUACAAGCAAAAUGAAAAGGGAAACUGAAAAAGAAGAAGGUGGGAUAGAAGAAACGUGGAACAAAGUCCUAAAAGAAAUCUCAGCCAGGGGGCUCACUGGCCCCCGGAAAGCCAUUGGUCCAAUGUAGAGCUUUUCACAAAUAGUAUGAUCAAAAAUUUGACGGGCUUUAAGGGGAAAGAAAAGGAAGUGUGUGUUUCUUUUAAUGAAUGAGAAAAGAGGCAGAACGAAAAGGAAAAACCUAGGCAAGAGGUCAAGGUGCAAAUACACAUGCGGCCAGCGGACGUGCAGCAUCGAAAGGGUUUGAGAAACCGACGGUACGUGAAGUCAGAGACUCUCUGAUCCCAACAUUCACAUCUGUUUUCUUCAAAUAGCCUAGGUUUUGUGACUUGGGAAUAUGAUUCCUUCUCUAAGGUACCAACUUGGAUGAUGUUUACGUAAUCAUCAUAUUGUAAGUCUACAUUGAAAUCAACCGACAGAGAAAGCCCAGAAGUCAUAGUUGCCAACGAGCCAUUUAAUGUUGUCACCUUGAUCAACAAAAGCAGCUGAUAGAAUGAAAGAACUUGAUAGUGUACUUGAUAAAGUUAAAGAACUUGAUCGCGUAAGAUGAGUCAGAACAUAGGGCUGGAAGCUGGAGGAGGAGAAGCAAAGGAACAGACACCAUUUUCCUCUCUUUACGGAGCGGGCAGCCCAGAGGCCCUGUGCAAAGCUGAUGGAACAAAACAUGUUAGGGUUUAAGCAAAUUACUUAAUGUUAUAAGGACGACUAAUAGAAGAACUAAAGACAAUCUAACAAAACUAAGAAAGAAGGAGAAAGCCAAGGGAGGAAGAAGUAUAGGAAAUGGAUCGCUUUUCACGGCAGGAAGUCAAUCGGUACUGCCCAAAGUUAAUAAGCCAUGAAAGAAAGGUCUGGGCUUAUUUUUGAACUGCGGUGCUAACCACCGGACAGUAAAGAGAAAUGGUUACAUUGGUUUCCUCUGGGCGGUGGGACUGCACAGAGUCAAGAGCAUGAAUGUACUUACUGCCAUUCCUUACUCUUCAUCUCUGUUUUACAUCUGCCUCAGUACUUUGACCUCGAACACGCGGUCGUAAUAGAUU